UCUCCGUAGGUGAACCUGCGGAGGGAUGAUUACUGAGUGAGGGUUUAACCGCCCGACCUCCAACCCUUUGUGAACCAAACUUGUUGCUUCGGGGGCGACCCUGCCGCUUCGGCGGUGCGGCGCCCCCGGAGGCCAUUAAACACUGCAUCAUUGCGUCGGAGUUAAAGUAAAUUAAACAAAACUUUCAACAACAGAUCUCUUGGUUCGGGCAUCGAUGAAGAACGCAGC
This 228-nucleotide unclassified non-coding RNA is filed under the name uncultured fungus. Its description in RNAcentral is "sequence contains ITS1, 5.8S rRNA gene". The stretch from base 180 to 228 matches the Rfam family "5.8S ribosomal RNA", at positions 1 to 49 of the family's 154-position model. The record is from RNAcentral. Lineage: Eukaryota; Fungi.